RNAcentral lists this ribosomal RNA (460 nucleotides) under uncultured bacterium. RNAcentral's name for it is "partial 16S ribosomal RNA". It matches the Rfam family "Bacterial small subunit ribosomal RNA", at positions 338 to 795 of the family's 1533-position model. The record is from RNAcentral.
CCUACGGGUGGCUGCAGUGAGGAAUAUUGGUCAAUGGGCGCGAGCCUGAACCAGCCAAGUAGCGUGCAGGAUGACUGCCCUACGGGUUGUAAACUUCUUUUAUAAAGGAAUAAAGUGAGGCACGUGUGCCUUUUUGUAUGUACCUUAUGAAUAAGGAUCGGCUAACUCCGUGCCAGCAGCCGCGGUAAUACGGAGGAUCCGAGCGUUAUCCGGAUUUAUUGGGUUUAAAGGGUGCGUAGAUGGGUUGUUAAGUCAGUUGUGAAAGUUUGCGGCUCAACCGUAAAAUUGCAAUUGAUACUGGCAGUCUUGAGUACAGUUGAGGUAGGCGGAAUGCGUGGUGUAGCGGUGAAAUGCUUAGAUAUCACGAAGAACUCCGAUUGCGAAGGCAGCUUACUAAACUGCAACUGACAUUGAGGCACGAAAGUGUGGGUAGCAAACAGGAUUAGAUACCCUAGUAGUC